CCUGGUUGAUCCUGCCAGUAGUUAUACGCUUGUCUCAAAGAUUAAGCCAUGCAUGUCUGAGUACAGACCGAUCUAAGGUGAAACCGCGAAUGGCUCAUUAAAUCAGUCAUAAUUCCUUGGAUAGUGAUAAAAUUCCUCGGAUAACUGUGGAAAAUCCAGAGCUAAUACGUGCGACUGAGUUCCGACCUCGGUGUGAACCUUGGGAAGAACGCAUUUAUUAGAUUCAAAACUGACCGGCGUACUCUUCGGGAUGCGUCGACUGUCGAUUGUUUGAUGACUCCGGAUAACUCUGCCGAGCGCUACGGUCUUCGAGCCGGCGCCGUAUCUUUCAAGUGUCUGCCUUAUCAGCUUUCGAUUGUAGUUUAAAUGACUACAAUGGCUGUAACGGGUAACGGGGAAUCAGGGUUCGAUUCCGGAGAGGGAGCCUGAGAAACGGCUACCACAUCUAAGGAAGGCAGCAGGCACGCAAAUUACCCACUCCCAGUGCGGGGAGGUAGUGACGAAAAAUAACGAUGCGAGACUCUUCCGAGGCCUCGCAAUCGGAAUGAGUUCAUUUUAAAACUUUGGACGAGGAUCCAUUGGAGGGCAAGUCUGGUGCCAGCAGCCGCGGUAAUUCCAGCUCCAAUAGCGUAUAUUAAAGUUGCUGCGGUUAAAAAGCUCGUAGUUGGACUUCCUAGAGCCAUUUCGCUGAUGGGUCGCUCGCGAAGCUGUUCGCUUUCGUGCCAGUCACUGUUCGCUUUCUCGGGAACUUCUCUCUGCGUCCCGCUCUCUCCUCAUUCGUGUUGAGAGUAGGCGGUGUCGUGGUUGGAGUGUCUCGUGUUUAGCUUCAGCGGACGACGUUAGCUUUGUCUCCGAGUAUCGCCCGUUAGCGUUUGGUACAAUUAAAAUUCUGUCGGCUCGCUCGGAGUGCUCUUUACCGAGUGUUCCAGGGUGGCCGUCACGUUCACUUUGAAAAAAUUAGAGUGCUUAAAGCGGGCAAUCAAUAGUUGGCUGUUAUGUCUGUGCAUGGAAUGAAGUAACAGGACCUCGUUUCUGCUUGUUUUGUCGGUUUUAAUGAACCGAGGUAAUGAUUAAAAGGGACAGACGGUGGCAUUAGUAUUGCGGCGCUAGAGGUGAAAUUCUUGGACCGCUGCAAGACUAACUACUGCGAAAGCAUUUGCCGAGAAUGUUUUCAUUAAUCAAGAACGAAAGUUAGAGGAUCGAAGGCGAUCAGAUACCGCCCUAGUUCUAACCCUAAACUAUGCUAACUAGCGAUCCGCCGGCGUCAAUCCCACGACCCGGCGGGAAGCCCCAGGGAAACCCAAGUUUAUGAGUUCCGGGGGAAGUAUGGUUGCAAAGCUGAAACUUAAAGGAAUUGACGGAAGGGCACCACCAGGAGUGGAGCCUGCGGCUUAAUUUGACUCAACACGGGAAACCUCACCAGGCCCGGACAUCAUUAGGAUUGACAGGUUGAGAGCUCUUUCUCGAUUUGAUGGGUGGUGGUGCAUGGCCGUUCUUAGUUGGUGGAGUGAUCUGUCUGGUUGAUUCCGAUAACGAACGAGACUCUACCCUACUAACUAGUCGGCGGAUCGUUACCCUGAGAUGGUUAGUUUGUUUCGAAGUUGGUUGUUCUGGAUCGCGUUAGUGACUACCUCGGGGCGAGCGUUCGCGCGUUCGUACUCGAUAGCCACGCGUUUUUUGGUUCACUUUCCGAGAGCUGCUUCUGCUAGGGGCGUCCGUCGCAAUGUAUCUUCUUAGAGGGAUCAGCGGCGUUUAGCCGCACGAGAAAGAGCAAUAACAGGUCUGUGAUGCCCUUAGAUGUUCUGGGCCGCACGCGCGCUACAAUGUAAGGACCAGCGUGCUUUCCCCCUCCGAAAGGAGCGGGUAACCCGUUGAAAGCCCUACUCGAAUGGGAUUGGGGAUUGCAAAUAUUUCCCAUGAACGAGGAAUUCCCAGUAAGCGUGAUUCAUAAAAUUGCGCUGAUUACGUCCCUGCCCUUUGUACACACCGCCCGUCGCUACUACCGAUUGAAUGAUUCAGUGAGGGCAUUGGACUGGCGCCUUCGGUUCUGUCAAAGGAACCAUAGGCUGCCGGAAAGAUGUCCGAACUUGAUCAUUUAGAGGAAGUAAAAGUCGUAACAAGGUUUCCGUAGUGAACCUGCGGAAGGA
This 2147-nucleotide ribosomal RNA is filed under the name Mimocopelates sp. 1 MR-2008. RNAcentral's name for it is "SSU rRNA". It matches the Rfam family "Eukaryotic small subunit ribosomal RNA". Lineage: Eukaryota; Metazoa; Arthropoda; Malacostraca; Isopoda; Munnopsidae. The record is from RNAcentral.